Molecule: non-coding RNA, 640 nt
Organism: Oncorhynchus mykiss (rainbow trout)
Lineage: Eukaryota; Metazoa; Chordata; Actinopteri; Salmoniformes; Salmonidae
Source: RefSeq, a predicted model, not a curated record
CCAAUGACGUGGACACAUUGCUCUCAACCUUUAACAUAUCGCUAUGUAAAGAAAUGAAAAACAAGGUAUUUAGAACAGAAAGUGUCCAAAUCUACUCACAAUCAGACAACAUGGGCUCUAUCCACCAGGGAACGGACGGACAGGAGCGAGAAUUUAGCAGAGAGGAAUAUUUGAUUCGUGCUCUGCCGAGGAUCAUUUCAUAUGAAAAUACUGCCGAUUUUCAUUUCUAUUUCUGACCCGAGGGCAUUCAUUAUUGAAUACGUCACAUCUGGCCUCCAGAACGCAUGUAGCCAAGACCACCUGAGAGCCUAUCUAUCAAGAUAAUAUCCAAGAAGCUGGCUGCUGAUGACACUGAACUUGGCCUAAAGCGAGCUCUGCUGGUGGCUCCGGGAGGAUGCAGAUUUAUCUUUCUGCUAUGGCUGACCUCACGGUGAACCGCGCGCUGGGGACGGUUCUUUUUUUCUGCCUGGCAUUGUCUGCCUUGCUGUGCAACGCAUAAGGGACCCCGAUUUGGACAUUUUAAUUGUGUAACAAUGGUGUAAUUUUCUCCCCAGACGUCACAAUGAUAAUGGCAUAGAAUAAUGGUUUUACUUAUUCUACACCACAAACUGUAAUGGAAAUAAAGUUACAUUUCUGUUUA